GUUAUUGUCCCGUGAAGGACGAUUGGAAGCCGAAUAAUAUGCUUCACAGUAACGGCGUAGACAUUUUAUCACACCGAUAAGCUGAUCCACAAAAGGUUCGAGCUAAUGCAUUCAAGAGGAGCCGAUCACAGGUACCGGCAAUAAACCUCCAAGUCCAAGCUCUAUUCACAAAAGCAAAUAGAGUUGAGAAUUCCAUGACACUCAAACAGGCAUGCUCCUCGGAAUACCAAGGAGCGCAAGGUGCGUUCAAAGAUUCGAUGAUUCACUGAAUUCUGCAAUUCACAUUACUUAUCGCAUUUCGCUGCGUUCUUCAUCGAUGCGAGAGCCAAGAGAUCCGUUGCUGAAAGUUGUAUUUAAAUGCGUUAGACGCAAGAGGACAUUCUUUAAACUGAA
RNAcentral lists this unclassified non-coding RNA (393 nucleotides) under Fomitopsis sp. FBCC2323. Its description in RNAcentral is "sequence contains 18S rRNA gene, ITS1, 5.8S rRNA gene, ITS2 and 28S rRNA gene". Lineage: Eukaryota; Fungi; Basidiomycota; Agaricomycetes; Polyporales; Fomitopsidaceae. The record is from RNAcentral.